RNAcentral lists this long non-coding RNA (289 nucleotides) under Callithrix jacchus (white-tufted-ear marmoset). RNAcentral describes it as "lncRNA (ENSCJAG00000085547.1)". The record is from RNAcentral. Lineage: Eukaryota; Metazoa; Chordata; Mammalia; Primates; Cebidae.
AAACUGUCUUCUAAUGUGGCUCUGCCAUUUUGCAUUCCCAGGAGCAAUGAAUGAGAGUUCCUGUGGCUCCAUAUCCUUGCCAGCAUUUGGUGUUAUCAGUUGUCUGGAUUUUGGCCAUUCUAAUAGAGAUUCAGUCUCACGAUGUUGUCCAGUCUCAAACCACCUGGGCUCAAGCCAUCCACCUAGCUCAGCCUCCUGAGUGACUGGGAUACCAGGUACAUGCCACCAAGCUUAGCUAAAUUUGUCCAUUUCUUUAAAAAAAAAAAAGCCUCUCAGAAUUUUGAUUGAG